This 253-nucleotide ribosomal RNA is filed under the name uncultured bacterium. RNAcentral describes it as "partial 16S ribosomal RNA". It matches the Rfam family "Bacterial small subunit ribosomal RNA", at positions 524 to 776 of the family's 1533-position model. The record is from RNAcentral.
UACAGAGGGGGCAAGCGUUAAUCGGAAUUACUGGGCGUAAAGCGUGCGUAGGCGGCAAUGUAAGACAGAUGUGAAAUCCCUGGGCUUAACCUAGGAACUGCAUUUGUGACUGCAUUGCUAGAGUGUGGUAGAGGGAGAUGGAAUUCCGCAUGUAGCAGUGAAAUGCGUAGAUAUGCGGAGGAACACCAAUGGCGAAGGCAAUCUCCUGGACCUGCACUGACGCUCAUGCACGAAAGCGUGGGGAGCAAACAGG